This 140-nucleotide small nucleolar RNA is filed under the name Ochotona princeps (American pika). Its description in RNAcentral is "Small nucleolar RNA SNORA74 (ENSOPRG00000022371.1)". Lineage: Eukaryota; Metazoa; Chordata; Mammalia; Lagomorpha; Ochotonidae. The record is from RNAcentral.
CCCAGCUGUAGAAAACUGUCUAGGUUAUCUUGUACCAAGGCAAGAGUUAUACUGCUGGGAAAAAAGCAGCCACUAGAUGGUACGCAUUCUGGGCCUGGUUAAUGCCAAAUUUGUGCUAACUAUGCCAAUGUGCCAACAUA